GGGAAGUAAGAUGCUUACACAUGCAGUCGAUUCAAGUUACCUUCGGGUAAUGAGGAUGGCGGACGGGUGAGUAACGCGUAAGGAACUUGCCUCUUGGACUGGGACAACUGUUGGAAACGACAGCUAAUACCGGAUAUUAUGAGAUUCUCGCAUGAGAAACUUAUGAAAGCUAUAUGCGCCAAGAGAGAGCCUUGCGUUCCAUUAGCUAGUUGGUGGGGUAAUGGCCCACCAAGGCGACGAUGGAUAGCCGGCCUGAGAGGGUGAACGGCCACAAGGGGACUGAGACACGGCCCUUACUCCUACGGGAGGCAGCAGUGGGGAAUAUUGGACAAUGGGCCACAAGCCUGAUCCAGCAAUUCUGUGUGCACGAUGAAGGUCUUCGGAUUGUAAAGUGCUUUCAGUUGGGAAGAAGAAAGUGACGGUACCAACAGAAGAAGCGACGGCUAAAUACGUGCCAGCAGCCGCGGUAAUACGUAUGUCGCAAGCGUUAUCCGGAUUUAUUGGGCGUAAAGCGCGUCUAGGCGGAAAAAUAAGUCUGAUGUUAAAAUGCGGGGCUCAACUCCGUAUUGCGUUGGAAACUGUUUUUCUAGAGUACUGGAGAGGUGGGCGGAACUACAAGUGUAGAGGUGAAAUUCGUAGAUAUUUGUAGGAAUGCCGAUGGAGAAGUCAGCUCACUGGACAGAUACUGACGCUGAAGCGCGAAAGCGUGGGGAGCAAACAGGAUUAGAUACCCUGGUAGUCCACGCCGUAAACGAUGAUCACUAGGUGUUGGGGGUCGAACCUCAGCGCCCAAGCUAACGCGAUAAGUGAUCCGCCUGGGGAGUACGCACGCAAGUGUGAGACUUAAAGGAAUUGACGGGGACCCGCACAAGCGGUGGAGCAUGUGGUUUACUUCGACGCAACGCGAGAAACCUUACCAGCGUUUGACAUCCUAAGAAGUUUCCAGAGAUGGAUUCGUGCCGGCUUGCCGGAACUUAUUGACAGGUGGGGCAUGGCUGUCGGCAUCUCGGGUCGUGAGAUGUUGGGUUAAUUCCCUCAACGAACGCAACCCCUAUUGUAUGUGGCUACCAUUAAGUUUAACAUUCCUGCAAAACUGCCUGCGAUCAGCGGAAGAAGGUUGGGGAUUACGUCGGUGUGGUUGGGCUGUGUAGCGGAUUGUGC
Molecule: ribosomal RNA, 1161 nt
Filed under: uncultured bacterium
Lineage: Bacteria
Description: bacterial SSU rRNA
Rfam family: Bacterial small subunit ribosomal RNA
Source: RNAcentral